Molecule: ribosomal RNA, 253 nt
Filed under: uncultured bacterium
Lineage: Bacteria
Description: partial 16S ribosomal RNA
Rfam family: Bacterial small subunit ribosomal RNA
Source: RNAcentral
UACAGAGGGGGCAAGCGUUGUUCGGAAUUACUGGGCGUAAAGGGCGCGUAGGCGGCCUUCUAAGUCGAACGUGAAAUCCCUGGGCUCAACCCAGGAACUGCGUCCGAUACUGAAAGGCUUGAAUCCGGGAGAGGGAUGCGGAAUUCCAGGUGUAGCGGUGAAAUGCGUAGAUAUGCGGAGGAACACCGAUGGCGAAGGCAAUCCCCUGGGCCUGCACUGACGCUCAUGCACGAAAGCGUGGGGAGCAAACAGG